GUGCCAGCAGCCGCGGUAAUACGAAGGGGGCUAGCGUUGUUCGGAAUUACUGGGCGUAAAGCGCACGUAGGCGGACAUUUAAGUCAGGGGUGAAAUCCCGGGGCUCAACCUCGGAACUGCCUUUGAUACUGGGUGUCUUGAGUGUGGAAGAGGUCAGUGGAAUUGCGAGUGUAGAGGUGAAAUUCGUAGAUAUUCGCAGGAACACCAGUGGCGAAGGCGGCUGACUGGUCCACAACUGACGCUGAGGUGCGAAAGCGUGGGGAGCAAACAGGAUUAGAUACCCGCGUAGUCC
Molecule: ribosomal RNA, 292 nt
Filed under: uncultured bacterium
Lineage: Bacteria
Description: partial 16S ribosomal RNA
Rfam family: Bacterial small subunit ribosomal RNA
Source: RNAcentral